This 240-nucleotide unclassified non-coding RNA is filed under the name soil metagenome. RNAcentral's name for it is "partial contains 5.8S ribosomal RNA, internal transcribed spacer 2, and large subunit ribosomal RNA". The record is from RNAcentral.
AACCAUUCUCACCUGCGGCUAGACCUGCGGAAGGAUCAUUAUUGAUUUUUAACAGGAUGUGCUGGCUCUUCUGGAGCAUGUGCACUCCUAACAAAAACCAAUAUCCACCUGUGCACUUUUAGUAGGCAGGAAAAAAGACCUUUUUACCCAAGGGCUCUUUUCCUUGUCUAUGUCUUCUAUCACAGACACUUGAUCUAUUUGAAUGCUUAUACAACAAAAUAAUAUUUGUAAAACAACUUU